This 1150-nucleotide long non-coding RNA is filed under the name Brassica napus (rape). RNAcentral's name for it is "long non-coding RNA (BNAP_LNC018771)". The record is from RNAcentral. Lineage: Eukaryota; Viridiplantae; Streptophyta; Magnoliopsida; Brassicales; Brassicaceae.
GCCUCUCUAAUUCUUAGAGUACAAAUUCUCCACUUAAACACGUGCACUGACAGAUGAGUUUUGCAUUUGAGCAUUAUCAGUUCUGAACUGAAGAAGAAGAUUAUACAUUGAAGUUAUAGGCGAUUGUCUUAUCAGAAUGAAGAAAAUAUAUACGAAACAAUGAAAAUUGAGUAGACAGACAUAGUAAUUAACUGCAGGACAAACAUUGGGAGAAUUAAUACCAAAAUCACAGCGAAAGAAUCAACAAAUGAUCUGAAAAGAGAAAAGGAAAACGACAAGUAAUUUGUUUGUUGCCCAAAAAAAGAACACGCCAACACGCAAUUCACUCCAUCUCCUCCUGCAAAUUACUAACCAUUCAACAAGAGAUUGGAUUGCAGACACAUUUACAAAUUUUGAGAGCUUUCAAAUAUUAUGAUUUGAUAGCGCAAAGAAUAUUGUAUAAAACACAAUUUAUAGAGUUAAAAAGACAUAAAAAUCUCUUUCUCUCAAUAUAUCCUCUACCAUCUCUUUAUACUUCGUCAUCUUCAUCUGAUUUCCUCAGUCACUGACUCCGGCUGCUUCCAUAGAUCCGGAGUCGCAUUUAGUUUUUCUCUUUAUUUCUCUGGUGUGUUUAAUCGGUGGAUUUGUGUGUCGAUUUGGAGGUUAAAAGCUAAAAUCCAGAUUUGUUCAAGAUCUGUCGGGUUUUAGGCUUGUUUGAAGGUUAGGGGUUCCGGAUUUGAUAGAUCAAUGGUGUGGUGGUGUGUCUCCUAAGCUGCAUGCUCCUUCUCUUUUGUGUUGGUAUCUUUGGCUUCGCUCCGUCUCAAUUCGUAAUCCCUCUUGUCUUCAAGGCUGAUUUUGGACUGUGUGUUGAGACUUGCUCACUGUCUUUUCUCUAGAGGUAUGAUUGCGUCCUCGCCUUUCACCUGCUUCUCUUGGCGUUUCAUGGUCGUCAAUCGUUUCGACUUUGCCGUCUCCAAAAUACGAGUUAGAAACCAAAAGAUGAGCUGAAAACUCUGUUCGCGUUGGAAACUCUUGUUCGCUACGGAGAUUUGAAGCAAAAGUUUUAUGCUAUCUUUAUUCACUAUGAGAAGUCUCUUGUUGGUUCUCUUUUAACAAAGAUUUGCAUGGAGUUUUGGUGUCUUGGUGCUUGGAGCAUUCUUCUACUUUUCAC